CUCUGAUCAGCCAUGCCGCGUGUAGGAAGACUGCCCUAUGGGUUGUAAACUACUUUUAUAGAGGAAGAAACAGUAUUACGUGUAAUACUCUGACGGUACUCUACGAAUAAGGAUCGGCUAACUCCGUGCCAGCAGCCGCGGUAAUACGGAGGAUCCAAGCGUUAUCCGGAAUCAUUGGGUUUAAAGGGUCCGUAGGCGGGUUUGUAAGUCAGUGGUGAAAGUUUUCGGCUCAACCGGAAAAUUGCCAUUGAUACUGCAAGUCUUGAAUUAUUGUGAAGUGGUUAGAAUAUGUAGUGUAGCGGUGAAAUGCAUAGAUAUUACAUAGAAUACCGAUUGCGAAGGCAGA
This 346-nucleotide ribosomal RNA is filed under the name uncultured Aquimarina sp. RNAcentral's name for it is "bacterial SSU rRNA". It matches the Rfam family "Bacterial small subunit ribosomal RNA", at positions 381 to 725 of the family's 1533-position model. Lineage: Bacteria; Pseudomonadati; Bacteroidota; Flavobacteriia; Flavobacteriales; Flavobacteriaceae. The record is from RNAcentral.